UCAUUAAGAGUGGUGAUUAUGAUAACAUAAGGGAAAAAAAUGAUGUUACCUUAUUAUUAGUGUUGUCCAAAACUGGUGCCAGAAGACUCGGUAAGACCAGAGACGCAAACGUUAGUCAUCUUAAUCAGGCGUAAAGGGUUUGUAGGCUGCUUUAAAAAUUUAAAUCUUUAUAAUAGCUCUGUUAUACUAAAAAUCAAUGAUAAAAAUAAAUAUUUUAUCUUGUAUAACAGUUAAGAAAUAAAUGAAUUAAAGCUAGGAUCAAAUUGAGGAUAACCCAAAUAAUACUUAGAGUAGGGCUUAUAUCCGCAGAUACUAAGGGGAAUACUAAAGGUGAAAGCUUUUUAUCUAUUAUUGAUUGACGCUGAGAAACGAAGGUGAGAAUAGGAAAUAGGAUUUGAUACCCAGAUACCUCUCACUGUCAACGAUGAAUGGUGAUUGUCAGUUUUAAUAAAAAUUGGUAAUGAUGUUAACACGAUAACCAUUCCGCCUUGCGAGUACGGUUGCAAAACUGAAACCAAAAAAA
RNAcentral lists this ribosomal RNA (523 nucleotides) under Tricholoma alpinum. RNAcentral describes it as "partial small subunit ribosomal RNA". It matches the Rfam family "Bacterial small subunit ribosomal RNA", at positions 423 to 908 of the family's 1533-position model. The record is from RNAcentral. Lineage: Eukaryota; Fungi; Basidiomycota; Agaricomycetes; Agaricales; Tricholomataceae.